RNAcentral lists this ribosomal RNA (729 nucleotides) under uncultured bacterium. RNAcentral's name for it is "bacterial SSU rRNA". It matches the Rfam family "Bacterial small subunit ribosomal RNA", at positions 43 to 769 of the family's 1533-position model. The record is from RNAcentral.
CAGGCCUAACACAUGCAAGUCGAGCGGUAACAUUUCUAGCUUGCUAGAAGAUGACGAGCGGCGGACGGGUGAGUAAUGCUUGGGAACAUGCCUUUAGGUGGGGGACAACCAUUGGAAACGAUGGCUAAUACCGCAUAAUGUCUACGGACCAAAGGGGGCUUCGGCUCUCGCCUUUAGAUUGGCCCAAGUGGGAUUAGCUAGUUGGUGAGGUAAUGGCUCACCAAGGCGACGAUCCCUAGCUGGUUUGAGAGGAUGAUCAGCCACACUGGAACUGAGACACGGUCCAGACUCCUACGGGAGGCAGCAGUGGGGAAUAUUGCACAAUGGGCGCAAGCCAGAUGCAGCCAUGCCGCGUGUGUGAAGAAGGCCUUCGGGUUGUAAAGCACUUUCAGUUGUGAGGAAAGGUUAGUAGUUAAUACCUACUAGCUGUGACGUUAGCAACAGAAGAAGCACCGGCUAACUCCGUGCCAGCAGCCGCGGUAAUACGGAGGGUGCGAGCGUUAAUCGGAAUUACUGGGCGUAAAGCGUACGCAGGCGGUUUGUUAAGCGAGAUGUGAAAGCCCCGGGCUCAACCUGGGAACUGCAUUUCGAACUGGCAAACUAGAGUGUGAUAGAGGGUGGUAGAAUUUCAGGUGUAGCGGUGAAAUGCGUAGAGAUCUGAAGGAAUACCGAUGGCGAAGGCAGCCACCUGGGUCAACACUGACGCUCAUGUACGAAAGCGUGGGGAGC